CCGGCGGGUGACAUUCAGCCGGCGGUUCGGGGCGACGGACUCUCCAUCCCAGAACCAUGGCCCAAUUUGUCCGUAACCUUGUGGAGAAGACCCCGGCGCUGGUGAACGGCAUUGGCAGUUCUGUUUGGAACUAUCUCUUAGAGCUUUGUGUCUGCUUAAAGCUGCUGUGACUUACUCGAAGCCUCGAUUGGCCACAUUUUGGUACUACGCCAAGGUUGAGCUGGUUCCUCCCACCCCUGCUGAGAUCCCUAGAGCUAUUCAGAGCCUGAAAAAAAUAGUCAAUAGUGCUCAGACUGGUAGCUUCAAACAGCUCACAGUUAAGGAAGCUGUGCUGAAUGGUUUGGUGGCCACUGAGGUGUUGAUGUGGUUUUAUGUCGGAGAGAUUAUAGGCAAGCGGGGCAUCAUUGGCUAUGAUGUUUGAAGACCAAUCUUUAACAUCUGAUUAUAUUUGAUUUAUUAUUUGAGUGUUGUUGGACCAUGUGUGAUCAGACUGCUAUCUGAAUAAAAUAAGAUUUGUCAAAACUCAGUGUUUUCUCCAUCAGAUAGUCCAUGAAAGGUCACAAUUUCUCUUGAUAUUAGGCUGGGUUGUCUUUAAACAACUCUAAAUACACGUCUGUUUAGCCCGCAAUUGGAAAGGAUAUAUGUGGCAAUAUUAACCUGGUACAUGAAUAUAUGGGGAUAACAUUUUAAUUUGAAGGUUUGGAAUAUAUAUAUUUAAGCUUUAUUUCCAGAACAGUGAGGGUUAGGUCUUGGGAAAACUAUAACUUGCCAAAGUAGAAGAAAUAGUAGUACCAUAUGCCAAAGUGAUAGAGAUGAAUCAUGUCGGUAGUUAGAAUAACAUUUCAACUGUUUUCUUUGCUAAAAUCACAGAAAGACCCUAUUGAGAACAUCUAUGUCUGU
RNAcentral lists this small RNA (900 nucleotides) under Pan troglodytes (chimpanzee). RNAcentral describes it as "retained intron". The record is from RNAcentral. Lineage: Eukaryota; Metazoa; Chordata; Mammalia; Primates; Hominidae.